UACGAAGGGGGCAAGCGUUGUUCGGAAUUACUGGGCGUAAAGGGCGCGUAGGCGGUGCACUAAGUCAGGCGUGAAAGCCCUGGGCUCAACCCGGGAAUUGCGCUUGAUACUGGUGCGCUCGAAUCCAGGAGAGGUUGGUGGAACUCCCAGUGUAGAGGUGAAAUUCGUAGAGAUUGGGAAGAACACCGGUGGCGAAGGCGGCCAACUGGACUGGUAUUGACGCUGAGGCGCGAAAGCGUGGGGAGCAAACAGG
This 253-nucleotide ribosomal RNA is filed under the name uncultured bacterium. RNAcentral's name for it is "partial 16S ribosomal RNA". It matches the Rfam family "Bacterial small subunit ribosomal RNA", at positions 524 to 776 of the family's 1533-position model. The record is from RNAcentral.